RNAcentral lists this ribosomal RNA (482 nucleotides) under uncultured bacterium. RNAcentral's name for it is "bacterial SSU rRNA". It matches the Rfam family "Bacterial small subunit ribosomal RNA", at positions 501 to 985 of the family's 1533-position model. The record is from RNAcentral.
CUACGUGCCAGCAGCCGCGGUAAUACGGAGGAUACGAGCGUUAUCCGGAAUUAUUGGGUUUAAAGGGUGCGUAGGUGGCGUAUUAAGUCAGUGGUGAAAAGCUGCAGCUCAACUGUAGUCUUGCCGUUGAAACUGAUAUGCUAGAGAGGAGACGAGGUAUGCGGAAUGUGUGGUGUAGCGGUGAAAUGCAUAGAUAUCACACAGAACGCCGAUUGCGAAGGCAGCGUACCAGGCUCCGUCUGACACUGAAGCACGAAAGCGUGGGGAUCAAACAGGAUUAGAUACCCUGGUAGUCCACGCAGUAAACGAUGAAUACUAGAUUUUUGCGAUAUACUGUAAGAGUCUAAGCGAAAGCGAUAAGUAUUCCACCUGGGGAGUACGCCGGCAACGGUGAAACUCAAAGGAAUUGACGGGGGCCCGCACAAGCGGAGGAACAUGUGGUUUAAUUCGAUGAUCCGCGAGGAACCUUACCCGGGAUUGAA